RNAcentral lists this transfer RNA (74 nucleotides) under Gordonia sp. (in: high G+C Gram-positive bacteria). RNAcentral describes it as "Gordonia sp. (activated sludge metagenome) tRNA-Cys". It matches the Rfam family "tRNA". Rfam says of the family: Transfer RNA (tRNA) molecules are approximately 80 nucleotides in length. Their secondary structure includes four short double-helical elements and three loops (D, anti-codon, and T loops). The record is from RNAcentral. Lineage: Bacteria; Bacillati; Actinomycetota; Actinomycetes; Mycobacteriales; Gordoniaceae. RNAcentral also lists the same sequence under 1 other name.
GGUGGUGUGGCCGAAUGGUGAGGCAACGGUCUGCAAAACCGUCCACACGGGUUCGAUUCCCGUCGCCACCUCCA